CAGCAAUGGAGUCCCCGCCAUAUGGGUUUCUCUCUUCUGCAUUGCCAGCUUCUUCCUUGGUGUUCUUGUUGUCAACAGGAUGGCGCAGCUGUAACCGGUCUUGGUACUCCACGAGAACUUGGAUCAAGAGACCUUUCCAACUUUCUGUCGUCUUUGAGUCACACCUCAGUACAACAUAAACCUGAUGUUUAUGCCCAAACAAAUAUCUAUGACGAGCAUCAGCGGUCACAAUGGGCAUGGUGUGUGUGUGUGUGUUGUGUUGUGUUGAAUAACCGAAAAAGGAUGACUCUGAAGUGACUUUGAAUGUAAACAUUCAUAUUUUCAUUUUUUUUUAAAUUUUUGGAGGAAGAAAAAAAAAAA
Long non-coding RNA from Malus domestica (apple), 360 nucleotides. RefSeq lists it as uncharacterized. NCBI's taxonomy places the organism in Eukaryota, Viridiplantae, Streptophyta, Magnoliopsida, Rosales, Rosaceae. The record is from RefSeq and is a predicted model, not a curated record.